AUAUCCUUAAUUUAAUGGAAAAAUAUUAAAAUACGAAUUUAAUUAUAUAGGUUCAAAUCCUAUAGGAUAUA
This 71-nucleotide transfer RNA is filed under the name Zygosaccharomyces bailii. Its description in RNAcentral is "transfer RNA-Arg(ACG)". It matches the Rfam family "tRNA". Rfam says of the family: Transfer RNA (tRNA) molecules are approximately 80 nucleotides in length. Their secondary structure includes four short double-helical elements and three loops (D, anti-codon, and T loops). Lineage: Eukaryota; Fungi; Ascomycota; Saccharomycetes; Saccharomycetales; Saccharomycetaceae. The record is from RNAcentral.